Molecule: ribosomal RNA, 504 nt
Filed under: Triticum aestivum (bread wheat)
Lineage: Eukaryota; Viridiplantae; Streptophyta; Magnoliopsida; Poales; Poaceae
Description: partial small subunit ribosomal RNA
Source: RNAcentral
AUGCGCCAGCUAAGGCUCGUCACCAACAUGAGGGCUCAUAAUGACACUUGGUUUGCGGAUUACUUGCUAAGGGUAGGCAAUGGAACCGAGGAAGUUGACGAUCAAGGAAACAUACGACUCCCUGAAGAUAUUUGUGUACCGUCUACAGGCGAGGGUGACGACCUAGAGAAGCUGAUUGACCAUGUGUUUCCGAGACUACAUGACAACAUGUCUGAUCCGAAUUACAUGACUUCUCGCGCAAUCCUCUCCACCACGAACGACAACGUUGACAAGAUAAACAUACGCAUGGUAGAACGUUUUCGGGGAGAAGAAGUAAUCUACCAUAGCUUUGACAGUGCAGAGGACGACCCAUAUGGCUACUACGCUCCCGAGUUCCUUAAUGGAUUGACUCCCAACGGUCUGCCUCCGCAUGCACUCAAACUGAAGCUCAACUGCCCUGUCAUACUUCUGAGGAACAUUGAUCCGGCUAAUGGUCUGUGUAACGGGACGAGGCUUGUGGUGUGA